This 506-nucleotide ribosomal RNA is filed under the name uncultured bacterium. RNAcentral describes it as "partial 16S ribosomal RNA". It matches the Rfam family "Bacterial small subunit ribosomal RNA", at positions 29 to 523 of the family's 1533-position model. The record is from RNAcentral.
AGUGAACGCUGGCGGUAGGCCUAACACAUGCAAGUCGAACGGCAGCACAGGAGAGCUUGCUCUCUGGGUGGCGAGUGGCGGACGGGUGAGGAAUACAUCGGAAUCUACUCUGUCGUGGGGGAUAACGUAGGGAAACUUACGCUAAUACCGCAUACGACCUACGGGUGAAAGCAGGGGACCUUCGGGCCUUGCCCGAUUGAAUGAGCCGAUGUCGGAGUAGCUAGUUGGCGGGGUAAAGGCCCACCAAGGGGACGAUCCGUAGCUGGUCUGAGAGGAUGAUCAGCCACACUGGAACUGAGACACGGUCCAGACUCCUACGGGAGGCAGCAGUGGGGAAUAUUGGACAAUGGGCGCAAGCCUGAUCCAGCCAUACCGCGUGGGUGAAGAAGGCCUUCGGGUUGUAAAGCCCUUUUGUUGGGAAAGAAAUCCAGCUGGCUAAUACCCGGUUGGGAUGACGGUACCCAAAGAAUAAGCACCGGCUAACUUCGUGCCAGCCGCCGCCGUAA